AUUGAACGCUGGCGGCAGGCCUAACACAUGCAAGUCGAGCGCAGCGUCGGACGGGUGAGUAAUGCCUAGGAAUCUGCCUGGUAGUGGGGGAUAACGUCCGGAAACGGGCGCCAAUACCGCAUACUAUCAGAUCAGCCUAGGUGGGAUUGGCUAGUUGGUGGGGUAAAGGCCUACCAAGGCGAUGAUCCGUAACUGGUCUGAGUGGAUGAUCAGUCAAACGGGAACUGGGACACGGUCCAGACUCCUACGGGAGGGAGCAGUGGGGAAUAUUGGGCAAUGGGCGAAAGCCUGGUCCAAGCAAGCCGGGUGUGUGAAAAAAGUCUUCGGGUUGUAAAGCACUUUAAGUGGGGAGGCGUUACCAACAUAAUAAGCACCGGCUAAAUUCGUGCCAACAACCGCGGUAAUAC
This 407-nucleotide ribosomal RNA is filed under the name uncultured bacterium. Its description in RNAcentral is "partial 16S ribosomal RNA". It matches the Rfam family "Bacterial small subunit ribosomal RNA", at positions 30 to 526 of the family's 1533-position model. The record is from RNAcentral.